GGUUACAGAUUUGGCCAAUGGGGAGCCUGCAUUCCGCUCCCCCUGCUACAGGCGGUGCUGCCGCCAUGUUUGUUAUGAGCUGCGUGAGGGCUCUUUUCUUUCCCUGCAUCUUUCAGUGGAGUUUUUGCCAUAAUUUCAUAUCCUGCCAUUUAUAGCCUCGCCAGGUGGAGCGAGCUAGCCUGCAGCACCCAUUAGAGCAGUUAAAAAGGCACGCCGAGCUCCUUAUGGAAACAGCUUGCCAGACCCCCAGAAGGAUGACUGUGUGACGUCCCGCCCCCUCUGCCGCUCCAGGAGCCAUCAUUACUGUGGGCUCGCCCAUUACUGACCGGCUUCCAUGCGCUAUUUCAACGUUGCCACGGAGGGGCAGAGCUGAGGCUGCUUCGUGACGGCGAGGAGAGCGAAACGAGUCCUCUUCGCUUAGGAACGAUCCGCAUAUCCCACUAGGGGCGUCCUGCUGCGUGCCGAGCUGCUCAGCGGGAAGGCUCUGUUCUCGUCUAAUAGUGGUCUGCCUUCUUUCUUGGUUGUGUUUCUAAGGAGCUGAGGCUGGAUGUGGCUCUGGGCUGCCUGGUCUGCUGGUUGGAGACUCUGAACACAGCAGGGGGUUGGAAUGGGAUGAGCAUUGUGGUCCUUUUCAACCCAGGCCAUUCUGUGGUUCUGUGAUUCUCUUGAAGGCCGCUGGAAGCCCCAAUUAGCUUCAUUCCCUCAUUGGCUUCACCCUGGGGCUCAGGACAUCUCAAGGGGCUUCCAGGUAGGAUGUGGUGUGGGCAUGGCAUGCAUCCGUGGGGGCUGCAUCCGAAGAAGGGCAACAAAGCUAUGAAGGUCUGGAACAUAAGUCUUAUGGGGAACAGCUGAGGGACCCAAACUGCUGAACUGCCACUUUCCAGUCUGAUCAGCCACCAAAUUCCCAGUCUGACCAAAGUCAGGGGUGAGUGAGAUGACCUCAAAGAAACACAGUGUGAGGCAAACCUCCUUUUCUUGCUAGCUUCGGUCUCGAUCCACUGAACUGAUUUGAGCAGAAACCUUCCAGAAUAUUUGUUCCAUGGCAUCUCGUUGGCCCGGAACACAUCACAGUGCAAGAUUGCAGCUUGGGAAGUGAGAAGAAACUGAAAGGAAGGGCUUGCAGUAGGAAAUGUCAGGCAGCCAGAAAUGUAAGUGUUGCUGCUUCCUCUGCUGAUGGAUAGCGUGUUGCUGUGAAAGAUGCCCAAACCAGGACUUACAGUGCAUAGCAAAGCAUUGUAUUGCACACUGCUCUGCAGAGCCAUGCUCAACAUGACUGUCUCCUGCCCUCCAGGUACUGAUUUGCUGCAAUAAGAUGUGAAUGUAAAUCCUUC
This is a long non-coding RNA of Gallus gallus (chicken), 1331 nucleotides long. NCBI's taxonomy places the organism in Eukaryota, Metazoa, Chordata, Aves, Galliformes, Phasianidae. The record is from Ensembl.